UCAAAAUUAGGGUUUAAAAGUCAAAUGGAUCAGGCGAGGCACGGCUGUAAUCCCAGCACUUCGGGAGGCCGAGGCAGGUGGAUCAGGAGGUCAGGAGUUUGAGACCAACCUGGCCAACAGGGUGAAACCCUGUCUCUACUAAAAACACAAAAAUUAGCUGGGCAUGGAGGCUCACACCUGCAAUCCCGGUUACCCAGGAGACUGAGGCAGGAGAAUUGCUUGAACCCGGGAGGUGGAGGUUUCAGUGAGCCAAGAUCGCACCACAGCAUUCCAGCCUGGGUGACAGAGUGAGACUCCAUCUCAAAAAAAAAAAAAGGGUGAAAUGGAUCAUAGAGGCCACCUUGUCUAAACUUCCACCUAGAGAAGAAUAUGAAUAAAAGCCCACUGAGCUAAAUUCAUUUCUUUGACAUUAUUCCAGGCACAUCUCUUACACUGUGAAUGCUGUUAAGCUGUAGGAGAGAAAAGUGCUGUAAAGGAAUAAGGAAAUCCCUGCACUUUACCAGCCCUGGAUUCUGGGACUUCACAGAUACAGCCCGGGUGCAGAAGAAGCUACCCACUCCCUGACCAAGUUGGAUAAUGAAUAAUUAAACAACCACUAUGGAAAAGGCAUGAAAUUAGCUAAGGUGUUGCUAAGGCAAGAGGGCCAUCUUUGGCCAGGCAGUCAUGAGGUUCCUGGUUCUAGGCCACUGGGACAUGGGAUGCCCACUUGCCCACAGGCACUUCUGUAAACAAGGCUCCACUUGGCUUGUGGGCCAAAUAGCCUGUGCCUUGUGAUCCGUGGGCCUCCAGGCGCCCAGGGUCUGCACACAUUUACAGUGCUGCCAUGCUCCAGCCAAGUGGACAAGUAAUUGGUGACAAGGCCCUGAAUGUCAGGAAUUAAACUGAGAAAACUCCCUGAAACUGAUUUGAGUUCAUUGCAGCUUAACUCUCAAGCUCCAGCAGGUCCUAAGAGGAUCCUUCUCCAUCAGUUCAGGGGCGAGAGGCUCUGAGACAAGUGGUAUACAACUGACCUGAGAGGGCCCAGCCUGGCUUCCACUUCCCAGGGACUGGAGGGCUCCUACAUAAAUGGCUCAAUCCCUGCUGCCUGCUUUGGAGAUGGUUUGCGACUGUUUCCCACUCCUAGGAACACU
RNAcentral lists this long non-coding RNA (1130 nucleotides) under Papio anubis (olive baboon). RNAcentral's name for it is "lncRNA (ENSPANG00000050389.1)". Lineage: Eukaryota; Metazoa; Chordata; Mammalia; Primates; Cercopithecidae. The record is from RNAcentral.